Molecule: long non-coding RNA, 1012 nt
Filed under: Triticum aestivum (bread wheat)
Lineage: Eukaryota; Viridiplantae; Streptophyta; Magnoliopsida; Poales; Poaceae
Description: long non-coding RNA (TAES_LNC013947)
Source: RNAcentral
UUCCAUAUUGUGUUGUUGUAUGCACAUGAACCUAGUAGAAACUAAAUAUUGGUCGGCACCUAUUUGAGGUCUGAUUUUUCUAGUUUGCAGUUCAUCUUGAUUAGGAGAAAAUGCAAGAUUCGUGAUCUACAAGAGAUGCUAGAGCCUUUGCUCUAAUUAAGGUAUUUUUACUUUUGUUCUCACCCACCUCUCCAAUGUUUUAUCAUGAAUAAACGCCAGUCAAGUUGUCUCGUAUAUUAAAACAUACCUAUGUGCCCAAGAUCAUGAGAUCAGCAUUAUUGAGCGAUUAGUGGCCAUGUUGGUUUAGUCUAAACACAACCGCUUCCUAUUUCAUUGGUGUCUUUUAUUGUAUCACUAUGCAGUAUGCCAGUACCAUCAAAAUGUGUUCUUGAGUAUAGUUUGUCCAUGCCAUCCGAUUUCACGCUUUAUUAUGUAUGACUUAGGAAGUAUUGAGCAGCUACAUGGCAGGUUACAAGGAAGAUUACCAGUACAACAAGGAGGCUGCAACAACAAGUUCAGGUUAUCAAUCAAGGCAAGAAAUUCUACAUAUUCUUCUGAACAAACAGGUACCGUUCCCUGCUGUUACAUUAUCAAAUAUUUGCAUACUGCUUUGGUUUUAUUCUAUUAUUGAGAUGAUGACGACUUUGCCCAUUUUUCUUCAAAAUCUGAAAUGGAUAGACUUAACUCCCUAAUAACUUAUCUACUCAGGCGGUUAGCUGAUAGUUCUUUCAAACUAAUCCAGAAGCAUGUGAUCAGGUUGUCAUUUGAAUGGAUUUUCUUAGUUGCGUGGUUUGUAUCAGGUCUAAGAUAUGAUGCUAUUACUCCAUUAUUUUGUCUGUAGCUGUAAAAUUGGGUAAUUUUGCUGUGAUAAAAACAAGUACGGUAUAUAUUCCAUUGUUAUUUGAAAAAGUGAUACACCAAAUAUAUUAUGCUUAUUAUAUCCUAUAGAUAUUGUUCCUCUUUCUUGUUACCUUUUUGGAGGAAACUGUUGACACUUCCAUAUUUUUUCAAG